This 253-nucleotide ribosomal RNA is filed under the name uncultured bacterium. RNAcentral's name for it is "partial 16S ribosomal RNA". It matches the Rfam family "Bacterial small subunit ribosomal RNA", at positions 524 to 776 of the family's 1533-position model. The record is from RNAcentral.
UACGGGGGGGGCAAGCGUUGUUCGGAAUUACUGGGCGUAAAGGGCUCGUAGGCGGCCAACUAAGUCAGACGUGAAAUCCCUCGGCUUAACCGGGGAACGGCCUCUGAUACUGGCUGGCUGGAGUUCGGGAGAGGGAUGCUGAAUUCCAGGUGUAGCGGUGAAAUGCGUAGAUAUCUGGAGGAACACCGGUGGCGAAGGCGGCAUCCUGGACCGACACUGACGCUGAGGAGCGAAAGCCAGGGGAGCAAACAGG